UAUAUAACAAAAGAAAGAAUAGAAAGGAGAAAGAAAGAAACAGAGAGCAAAACGAAACAGAGAAGGGAGAAAGAAGAAAAAGAAAGAGCGACGGUUUAGGGGUUUCAAAACUUCUAAAUUCAAUUGAUCAAGAAGUACGAAACUCGAGGUUAGACAAAGGGAAGAAUAAAGUUGAAGACUAAGUUGGUGAAUUUGGCUAUAAUUGGUACCGAG
Molecule: long non-coding RNA, 213 nt
Filed under: Gossypium barbadense (sea-island cotton)
Lineage: Eukaryota; Viridiplantae; Streptophyta; Magnoliopsida; Malvales; Malvaceae
Description: long non-coding RNA (GBAR_LNC019452)
Source: RNAcentral